UACAGAGGAGCCAAGCGUUGUCCGGAUUGACUGGGCGUAAAGCGCACGCAGGCGGUUGCGCGCGUGGGGUGUGAAAUCUGGCCGCUUAACGGCCAGGCGCCAUCCCAUACGGCGCGACUGGAGUGAUGCAGAGGUCGAUGGAAUUGCCGGUGUAGUGGUGAAAUGCGUAGAUAUCGGAAGGAACACCUGUGGCGAAAGCGGCUCACUGGACCAUAACUGACGCUGAGGCACGAAAGCUAGGGGAGCAAACAGG
This 253-nucleotide ribosomal RNA is filed under the name uncultured bacterium. RNAcentral's name for it is "partial 16S ribosomal RNA". It matches the Rfam family "Bacterial small subunit ribosomal RNA", at positions 524 to 776 of the family's 1533-position model. The record is from RNAcentral.